Molecule: ribosomal RNA, 466 nt
Filed under: Comamonas sp. R-28231
Lineage: Bacteria; Pseudomonadati; Pseudomonadota; Betaproteobacteria; Burkholderiales; Comamonadaceae
Description: bacterial SSU rRNA
Rfam family: Bacterial small subunit ribosomal RNA
Source: RNAcentral
UUUGAUCCUGGCUCAGAUUGAACGCUGGCGGCAUGCCUUACACAUGCAAGUCGAACGGUAACAGGUCUUUCGGGAUGCUGACGAGUGGCGAACGGGUGAGUAAUACAUCGGAACGUGCCUAGUAGUGGGGGAUAACUACUCGAAAGAGUGGCUAAUACCGCAUGAGAUCUAUGGAUGAAAGCAGGGGACCUUCGGGCCUUGUGCUACUAGAGCGGCCGAUGGCAGAUUAGGUAGUUGGUGGGAUAAAAGCUUACCAAGCCUGCGAUCUGUAGCUGGUCUGAGAGGACGAUCAGCCACACUGGGACUGAGACACGGCCCAGACUCCUACGGGAGGCAGCAGUGGGGAAUUUUGGACAAUGGGGGAAACCCUGAUCCAGCAAUGCCGCGUGCAGGAUGAAGGCCUUCGGGUUGUAAACUGCUUUUGUACGGAACGAAAAGUCUUGGGCUAAUACCCUGGGAUCAUGAC